RNAcentral lists this long non-coding RNA (1036 nucleotides) under Phoenix dactylifera (date palm). RNAcentral's name for it is "long non-coding RNA (PDAC_LNC010467)". Lineage: Eukaryota; Viridiplantae; Streptophyta; Magnoliopsida; Arecales; Arecaceae. The record is from RNAcentral.
GCUAUAUUUUUGUCUCUAACGGCUAUAUUCUUGUUUCCACUCCAUCUAAAGCUAUAAAAACAAGAAGAGAGCUAGGGGAGAACUCAUGGGAGUGGGAGAAAACAUUUAGGAAAGAGAUUACAAGGAAAAUCUUCCAUAAGCACAAAAAGGGCCAUCCAAAGAGAAAUAGAGAGAAGAAGAGCUUCCAAGUGUAUCCUAAAGCUUCCUCUCCAUCCGUGUGCUGCCGCGGUGAUCCUCUACUUCGUGCCAAAUCAGAAGAGGGUCAAGUAAAGAAGAAGUCGAGCUCCUCCAUCUUCAAAACUCGUUUGAGGGCUUCUCUUUACUCUAUCUGUUUAUAUUGUUAUAUUUGCUUGUUUAAGAAGCUUUGAUUUGUUUUAUUCUUUGUUUUAAUAUCUUGUAACUUGAUUCAAUCAAGGGAUUGAAUCAAGGGGUUAAAGGUUUGUUGGUAAGCCAAAGGAAAACCAACGGGGUUUAAGGUUUGUUGGUGAGCCAAGGGAAAAACCAACGGAGUUUAGGUUUGUUGGUGAGCCGAGGGUAAAACCAACGUGUAAGGGUUUGAUUGUGAGCUCGGGAAAACAAUCGGAGUGGUUCUAGUCGGUGAGCCUGGGAAAACCGACCGAGUUCGUUGUGCGCUCGUAAAACAACAAGUUGGGUUGUGAGCUUGUAAAACAACCGGCUGUAAUCUAUAGGAUUAUAGUAGAAUUCCCAAGAGGUCUUGGGGAGUGGAUGUAGGUGCUGGGAUGCACCGAACCACUAUAUUUUUGUUGUGUUUGUGAUGCUCUUUGUUGACUGACCUCCUCACUCACUUACUUAGAUAUUAAGCUUGCUUAACUCUUCUUCGUGCAUCCUUUAGUUGCAAGCAUAAUCAAUUUACUCAAUCAUUAAAUUGAAUAGCAUACUAGGGCAAAAUUAGGCUAAUCUUUUAUUGAACCCACUGCUUAAUUAAUUGAUUAGAUUAGAAUCAUACUCUUGCUAAGGUUAAGCUUCACUAAGCAUCCAUACAACUUAGCAUAAUUAAUCUAAAAGAUUAGAAGUA